GGGAGGUAGUGACAAUAAAUAACAAUACGGGGCUCUUUCGGGUCUCGUAAUUGGAAUGAGUACAAUUUAAAUCUCUUAACGAGGAACAAUUGGAGGGCAAGUCUGGUGCCAGCAGCCGCGGUAAUUCCAGCUCCAAUAGCGUAUAUUAAAGUUGUUGCAGUUAAAAAGCUCGUAGUUGAAUUUCGGGAUCAAUACGUCGGUCGUGCCUCCGGUAUGUACUGGCGUUAUUGGUUUCUCCUUUCUGAGGAGCCAUGAUGCCAUUAAUUUGGUGUCGUGGGGAGUCAGGACUGUUACUUUGAAAAAAUUAGAGUGUUUAAAGCAGGCACACGCUUGAAUACAUUAGCAUGGAAUAAUGAAAUAGGACGUUCGAUUCUAUUUUGUUGGUUUCUAGGAUCAACGUAAUGAUUAAUAGGGAUAGUUGGG
Molecule: ribosomal RNA, 423 nt
Filed under: uncultured Glomeraceae
Lineage: Eukaryota; Fungi; Glomeromycota; Glomeromycetes; Glomerales; Glomeraceae
Description: SSU rRNA
Rfam family: Eukaryotic small subunit ribosomal RNA
Source: RNAcentral